UUUUAAAUGAUUAGUGUGCAACGGUAGAGUAAACUCGUGAAUUAACCUGCCCUAAGAGUGGGGGACACACCAGUUAGAAAAAGAUUUGUUAAUUCCGCAUAAAGCCCCACAGGUUCCGCAUGGUACUGAGGGGAAAAGGAUUUGUUUCGUUUAUGGAUGGACUCGCGUCCAAAUUAGCUAGUUUGUGAGGUAACGGCCCCACCCAAGGCGACGAUUUGUUACCCGGAUGGAGAGGGUUGAACGGCCACAUUGGGACUGAGACACGGCCCAGACUCCUACGGGAGGCAGCAGUGGGGGAUUUUGCACAAUGGGGGAAAACCCUGAUGCAGCGACGCCGCGUGGAGGAAGAAGGUUUUCGGAUUGUAAACUCCUGUCGUUAGGGACGAUAAUGACGGUACCUAACAAGAAAGCACCGGCUAACUACGUGCCAGCAGCCGCGGUAAAACGUAGGGUGCAAGCGUUGUCCGGAAUUACUGGGUGUAAAGGGAGCGCAGGCGGGAAGACAAGUUGGAAGUGAAAACCAUGGGCUCAACCCAUGAAUUGCUUUCAAAACUGUUUUUCUUGAGUAGUGCAGAGGUAGAUGGAAUUCCCGGUGUAGCGGUGGAAUGCGUAGAUAUAUGGAAGAACACCAGUGGCGAAGGCGGCUCUCUGGUCUGCAACUGACGCUGAGGCUCGAAAGCAUGGGUAGCGAACAGGAUUAGAUACCCUGGUAGUCCAUGCCGUAAACGAUGAGUGCUAAGUGUUGGGAGGUUUCCGCCUCUCAGUGCUGCAGCUAACGCAUUAAG
RNAcentral lists this ribosomal RNA (785 nucleotides) under uncultured bacterium. RNAcentral's name for it is "bacterial SSU rRNA". It matches the Rfam family "Bacterial small subunit ribosomal RNA", at positions 78 to 864 of the family's 1533-position model. The record is from RNAcentral.